CGAAGCUUCCUCCUGGGGACGGUCGCUCUCCCAACUCCUCCUCUGCUUCAAACCUACAGUUCUCCUUUUCUCCUCUUGUUCUUGCUGGAGCGGAGAAUUUUAUUACAAUGAGAAGUAAAACGCGCGACCUUUUCGCUUGCUGUCUUUCUCACGCUCGACAGUUUGGCCGGUUGGUGUUUCCCCUUCUAUAUCUUUCGUCGCCCACUUCGCUCCACUCAUUCCGUCGCCUCUCCUCCUUCACGCGGAGAACUUGAUGUUGGAUUUAGUGAAGAUCAUUGUUGGAGUGGAGGGAUCCCGAGUCGCUCUGCGGAUCGAGAUCCCUUCCCGUCGGUUUUUCAGUUUUAGUAGACAGUGAAGGAGGGAGAGAGGAAAGAUUUUUGAUGGGAUCUGAAAGGGAAGAGUUGGAAAUUGAGAUGGAGACUCUUGUCAGUUCAUCACAGUCUAUAAAGGAGACACCCACCGUAGAGAUACCUCAUAAUAUAUCACAUUCAAAUGUUGCUAGAUCAUGGACCUUUUCAAGAAUACUUGAACAGCUAUGGAAAAGUACAAAAGUUGUUAUAUUCACAGUGAAGAUCAAUAUGUUGCUACCAUUUGGACCCAUGUCAAUCAUUCUCCAUUAUCUUACUAAAAUUCAUGUCCUGGUUUUUUUCUUCAGUUUGAUAGGUAUAACUCCAUUAGCUGAACGGUUGGGCUAUGCAACUGAACAGCUUGCAUUCUACACUGGACCCACAGUUGGGGGCCUUCUAAAUGCUACAUUUGGAAAUGCAACAGAGAUGAUAAUAGCGAUUUAUGCAUUGAAAAAGGGAAUGAUUCGUGUAGUCCAGCAAUCAUUGCUAGGCUCUAUAUUAUCAAAUAUUCUUUUAGUUCUUGGUUGUGCUUUCUUCACUGGCGGGAUCAUUCAUUCCAAGAAAGAUCAAGUCUUCAACAAGGCAGCUGCAGUCGUCAAUUCAGGAUUGCUGCUGAUGGCCGUCAUGGGUCUAACAUUUCCAGCUGUUCUUCACUUUACACACUCAGAGGUGCAAUAUGGAAAGUCAGAAGUUUUUCUUUCAAGGUUUAGCAGUUGUGUGAUGCUUGUAGCUUAUGCUAGCUACCUUGUUUUUCAACUGAAGAGCUGCCACAAUCUUUACAAUCCAAUUGAUGAAGAAGAGGGGCGGAACAAGGAUGAUUCUGAUGCAGUGGAAGUUCCAGAGUUAGGCCAAUGGGAAGCAAUCUCAUGGCUUGCUGUUUUGACCAUUUGGAUUUCUGUUCUUUCUGAAUACCUUGUUAAUGCCAUAGAGGGAGCAUCCACCUCGUUGAACUUGCCAAUGGCUUUUAUUAGUGUUGUUUUGCUUCCUAUUGUUGGCAAUGCUGCUGAGCAUGCAAGUGCAAUUAUGUUUGCUGUUAAGGAUAAACUGGACAUAACGCUGGGGGUUGCAAUUGGAUCAUCUACCCAGAUAUCAAUGUUUGUGAUUCCAUCCUGUGUGGUUGUUGGUUGGAUAAUGGGAAAACACAUGGACUUGAAUUUUCAACUAUUUGAGACCGCUGUUCUCUUCAUAACUGUACUGGUUGUGGCAUUUAUGCUACAGGAUGGUACUGCAAACUAUUUCAAGGGGCUAAUGCUUAUUCUAUGUUAUUUAAUUGUUGCUGCCAGUUUCUUUGUGCAUGUUGAUCCUGCAGACGGUAACGUUUAAUGGCUGAAAUGCCAAUUAGCCUUCCAUGGCAUCAAAACAGUAAGAUGAGUUCCGACUAGCGUGCAAUGCAGCAUGUUUUCCAUAAGGGAGUUGAUGGCAUGAUGGAAUUGUAAAAGCUAUGUUAUAGCAAUGCAAGUGGAGAGGUGGAAGCGUUUGUAGUCUAUCAUUUGAUUUGAUUUUUUCUUGAUGGGGCCUCAGUUCUCGGCCACGGAAAACAGCCUCCAUUAGAUUAGAUCUUGGCUCUUUUCGCGAUGAAUUCUAUAGAAUGCAAUAUGGUGCAUGGCACUCCAACGUGUAGACAGGAUUUGUCAAAUUAGAAUUCGUUAACAAGCUUGCAUUCAUGAUGGAUGCGAUUUUAAGGAUGUGAUGGUGGAGUGGAGGUAUGGUUUUGAUAGCAUCAUUUAGUGGGAAAACAUUUUGAAAAUUGAAGGCCAGAUUCAUAAUUUUCCAAACGUAUAUGGGGGUGUAUCUGCAACUUGGAUUUGUGGUGUCUUAUAUUGAAAAUACCAGCAUGGCUCGUAACUUAUAAUUAUUAUAUUAUAAAUGAAAUUUUUGUAUUUAAUGCAAAUUGGAUAUUGGCUGUAGAAUUUAAUAUUGGUGGAUAUUUGGUUAGGAUACUAUCUUUCAGGAUCUUUUUGAUACCGUGCGUUAUAGCAGGAAGAAAGAAAAAUAAAAUAGAAAUAAUCAAAUGUGUGGAUCAGCCAAAAAAUGGUUCGUCUUCACGGGGCGUGCAAAUUUCAUUAUGAGAAAAGAAAAAAAAAUAUGAGAGGAGAUUACAUCUUCUAUCUUUGUACACUCAAUCUCUCGCUCAUAGAAAUCUCUCUUACAGAAGUUUUCUCUUUAGGAAGAUCUCCUGAAUUUUUGAAGCGAUCGCUGUUCGCUGUCUAGAAGUUCUGCUCCUUUCUUCGUCGCCUCUGUUCUCAGGUAUUCUGUCGAAUGAAACCACCAUGCACUGUUCUUUGUUCACGGAUCAGGCUUUUUAUAGCCUUAAAACCUUAAAACAGUAUCCCAAAAAUUAUCCAGAACCGUCAGAUCGUGAUCGGUAGCUCUCAGGGCCAUCCGAUUGUGACGUGGUUCAUGAAAAAGAGUGUAGACUGUGAGAAAUGGGAAGUGAAACGUAUUCGGUCCACGGUGGACCAUGAGAAAUCGAGGGGAAAUGGUCUCGCGGUCCACGCGCCCGUCCAUAGAUCGC
Molecule: RNA transcript, 2862 nt
Organism: Elaeis guineensis (African oil palm)
Lineage: Eukaryota; Viridiplantae; Streptophyta; Magnoliopsida; Arecales; Arecaceae
Gene name: vacuolar cation/proton exchanger 3
Source: RefSeq, a predicted model, not a curated record